GACGAACGCUGGCGGCGUGCUUAACACAUGCAAGUCGAACGGUGAAGCUCCAGCUUGCUGGAGUGGAUCAGUGGCGAACGGGUGAGUAACACGUGAGCAACCUGCCCCUGACUCUGGAAUAAGCGCUGGAAACGGCGUCUAAUACUGGAUACGAGAAGGGCCCGCAUGGGCACUUUCUGGAAAGUUUUUCGGUUGGGGAUGGGCUCGCGGCCUAUCAGCUUGUUGGUGAGGUAAUGGCUCACCAAGGCGACGACGGGUAGCCGGCCUGAGAGGGCGACCGGCCACACUGGGACUGAGACACGGCCCAGACUCCUACGGAAGGCAGCAGUGGGGAAUAUUGCACAAUGGGCGAAAGCCUGAUGCAGCGACGCCGCGUGAGGGAUGACGGCCUUCGGGUUGUAAACCUCUUUCAGCAGGGAAGAAGCGAAAGUGACGGUACCUGCAGAAGAAGCACCGGCUAACUACGUG
Molecule: ribosomal RNA, 468 nt
Filed under: uncultured bacterium
Lineage: Bacteria
Description: partial 16S ribosomal RNA
Rfam family: Bacterial small subunit ribosomal RNA
Source: RNAcentral